Small nucleolar RNA from Humulus lupulus (European hop), 106 nucleotides. Lineage: Eukaryota; Viridiplantae; Streptophyta; Magnoliopsida; Rosales; Cannabaceae. The record is from RefSeq and is a predicted model, not a curated record.
AUGUCGUGAUGAGGAUAUUUUCUCAAAAUUCUUUAAACCUCUCCCAUGCGUAAUACAAUGACUUUCCAUCAGUCUGGAAGAAGUUAUUGAUUUCUCCUCUCAACCU